This 449-nucleotide ribosomal RNA is filed under the name uncultured bacterium. Its description in RNAcentral is "partial 16S ribosomal RNA". It matches the Rfam family "Bacterial small subunit ribosomal RNA", at positions 354 to 796 of the family's 1533-position model. The record is from RNAcentral.
GUCGAGAAUCUUUCACAAUGGGGGCAACCCUGAUGGAGCGACGCCGCGUGGAGGAUAAGGUCUUCGGAUUGUAAACUCCUGUCAUGCGUGAACAAGGUUGCUUGGUUAAUACCUGGGCAAAUUGAUGGUAACGCAAGAGGAAGAGACGGCUAACUCUGUGCCAGCAGCCGCGGUAAUACAGAGGUCUCAAGCGUUGUUCGGAAUCACUGGGCGUAAAGGGUGCGUAGGUGGCGUGGUAAGCCAGAUGUGAAAGCCCGGGGCUGAACCUCGGAACUGCGUCCGAUACUGCCAUGCUAGAGUACUGGAGAUGUGACUAGAAUUCUCGGUGUAGCAGUGAAAUGCGUAGAUAUCGAGAGGAAUACCAAAGGCGUACGCAGGUCACGGGACAGUUACUGACACUGAGGCACGAAGGCCAGGGGAGCGAACGGGAUUAGAUACCCGGGUAGUCC